UGUUGUGAAUGUAUCAAUUUUAUUCUUGGGACUGGUUUUAUUAUUUUUGGAACUAUUAUAAGACUUCUGUUAAACAUGUUGAAUGUUAAGAGGAAACAGACUCUCAGCAAAUGUUGAAAACCAAUUACAGAAACGUCCCUGCUAGAACUAGAGAAACACAGGGAGAGACCGAGGAGAAGUUUGUCCUCCCCUUCUCCCACUGCCCAAAACACACAGAUGGUGGAAUUCCCAGGAAGAAAAAUAUGAUGAUUACACUGUGGUUCUUAUUCUUCUGUUCACAGGCAAAAAAACACUAAAACGAUACUUCUGAGUCAAACCUAUUUAUAAUGAGUUCAACAUAGGAUUAUUUAAGGCAAAUCUGAUACAGGAAAAAGUCAUAUAACUUACAGAAUGAUUCUUUACUAUCCACAAAGAAAUCUUCACUAAUAAAUCAAAUUACAUUUAAAAACACUUACAUUUCAAAUAUUAAUCUAUGGAACUUUCAGGAGCACAUCUGCUGUAAACAGUAUUGUAAAAGCAUGCUAUCAUGUACACAUUGAUUAAAGUACAUAAUUUCAUGUACAUAAAUACUGACAAGAUUGAAAUGUUUUAAAUUUCAAUUUUGAAACUCUAAAAACUGAUUUAGGAAAAGGAUCAACAGAAGAAAGAAACUUAUUUUCAGUUAUUAUUCAGCUAUUACUUUCCCACCAUAAGUGAGGCUUUGUGCUGAGCACCAAAAAGGUACAGAUAUGUAAGACACCAUCUUUGACCUCAAUGAACUUCCCGUUCUGGAAAGGCAAGGCAGCAGUUACAAUUCAAUAUGGUAGCCAGGCAUUUGCAGUCCCAGCUACUUGGGAGGCUGAGCUGGGAGGAUCACUUGAGCCCAGGAGUUUGAGGUUGCCGUGAGCUACGAUUGUGCCACUGCACUCCUGCAUGGGUGACAAAGCAAGACACCAUCUCUAAAAAAAUAAAAAUUAAAGACAUGUAAAAAUGAUUUUAAAAUGCAAUGCGCUAACGGCAAUAAUAGAGGCAGCCCACGUGGAAGCAGCUCUAGGAAGUCUUCGUAUUCUUGGCAGAAGAACAGCAUAUGCAAGGUUGAGAGUGGUGGGUGGGUUAGGGCAGCAGUCUGAUGCGUCAGAAGCAAGGAUGCAGAAAGCAAAGACCACAGUGUAGACUGGAGGUGAAGGAGGGGCUGGACCAUGAUGGGUGUCUGAAUCGGGCACCAUCUGAGGAGGUCAUCAAAGGCAUAUUCCUUAGGGGGUUUUGUAAAGACUUUUAAGAAGUGUGGGCAGAGUUAAGGGAAUCAACACGGCAAGGCUCCCAGUGCCCAGUAGCAGUGGGAAGCCAGGCCCUCCCUUAGACUGAGAGGAGAAGAUGGCACAGCCAGAGGCAGGCCGUGUGCUAGAGGCAAGGAAGAGUGGCCACCUGUUGAGCCCUAAGAAAUACUAGAAAAAAGAUCUGGAAAACUAGGUGCUUGUUAUCAGAUUUAAAAUAUUUUUAAAUAUUUGUAAUAUGUUUUAAUAUCUGGGUUUGAGAAAUACCACAUGGUAAAAGCUUAAUUAUGGAACUCCAGAAAAAAAAAAAAAAGACAUACCCAUUAGCUAAUAAGAGGCCAGGUGGCUCUCUUUAGUAGGGCCUGAAGAGGUGUCUCCACUGCCCCUGGGGCACCUCGGGUGUUAAGACACUGGGCACAGCCAUGCCUGUCACCCCCUGAUGGCAGAGUGACUCGAUGGGUCGGGCUUGCCAGCUGCUGUCCCUUCCUCCAUGCUGUUCCCUAGAUGUCACUUU
Molecule: long non-coding RNA, 1767 nt
Filed under: Macaca fascicularis (crab-eating macaque)
Lineage: Eukaryota; Metazoa; Chordata; Mammalia; Primates; Cercopithecidae
Description: lncRNA (ENSMFAG00000051906.1)
Source: RNAcentral